CAAGCCAUGGGCCAUCUUCAUUGGUUCACAAGGGCGGUGCCUUCACCCCUUCAGUCCAUAUAUAACGCGGUGAGAAAGAGGUGUCGAUUGAUGAUGGUGGAGCGGUUAACGGAGGAGCACCGCCGCUCCUUCCGUCCAUCUUGUCUGAUCGACGCCUAUCCCGUCUUCGAUCUCCUAAGCGCCUUUUUAGUGAAUACCCGUCGUUGCCGACGGCCGUUUGAGUCCGAUUCUAGCAGCAACGGCUAUCCCGAUGGAGGCCAAUUGUUGCUGGCGGCCAUUUGAGUCUGUUUCUGGCGGUGACGGCCUUCAGAUUUCUCCAUGUUCUUAGUUUUGCAUUUUGGUACUGGUGAUGAUAACUUUUGCCUCCAGAAGAAAAUGUAUGCAGUUCUAAAGAGUCUUAAAACUGAUUUGAAUGGUGAAUAAAUCAUCUUUCUGUUUGUGUUAUAAAAAAGAGGUACAACGAGUUUCUUGCCCAAGUGAGAUCAGUGCUCAAACACUACCCAACUCUUCAAUUAUCUCAACCAAGAGAGAUAGUUUCACAACCAUGUCGUCGCACACGCAUGUUCUUCAGCAACGCCCCCAGUGACAGGAAAAGCUGCUGAUGUUAUGCUACUGGAGAGGUUGCAAAGAAAUGAGCUACUACGGGACCACUAUGUAAAGACCAAACUUUUCACUACCGAGCUCAUGGUAUCAGUCAAACCGUUUACCAGGUACCAUUUCAUGCAUUUCAACCAUUUGCCAUAAUGUGUAUGGAGUUACAACCCAUGAUAUUACUAGUGUCAGGCCUCCUAAUCCAAGAUCUCACUCAGCUAAUGCAACCAACAGGUGUACGGAAUCCACCUGAUGAUCAACCACUGUAGAUGAAACACUAGAAUGCAAAGAUCUGUGAGAGAAAUCAAGAAUACACAGAGUAUUCUUGAUGAGGAAGAAGAAUGACGUCACACACAGUAGCCGCCAGAAAAAACACACACAAUAAUUAGGGUUAGAAAGGUGCACAGAAUUUCACACAGAAUCGCCGUCUUGUCUAUUCCACAUAAAGGUAUAUAUACAAGACAAACCACGGACUCCAAGACGUACUAGAAGCCCGGACAAAAACACACUACCUAAAACCCCAACUUUUGCCUAAACACAAACCUCUGACCAAAGGCUAGACAAAAACUUGGACAAAUUGUCCAAGGAUAAACCUUGGACUAAGUUUCAAGAAAUGUACAAUAAAGACCCUAACAAUUGGAAGGUAUGCACUUAUCACCCAAAGUGCAUUAACAAACUCCCCCUUGAUCAGUGCAUGGUCUUCAUGUGGUCUUGAAUUCUUCAUCCUUGCUUCGAGUACUCGCUCCUGCCCAUACCUUGUUCUUCACACAGAAUUGAACUACCUUGAUGAACUGAUCAGCUAGCUCACGAUCUUCUUUAAGGUAUUUCAGAGGCAGGCGUUGAAGCUUCUUCAGAUGUGCUUCCCUUAGGUUGACAAGCCAAAUCGGAUCCAGAAUUCUUGCAAUCUCAACCGUCACUUUCUUCUCGGUAAUUACCGCUGCCCCAGUCUUGCCAUCGAGAUACCAAUACCCUAAGCUGUCAAAUUUAUCGAGAUCAAAUUUGCGCAUAGGGAUUUUACGAAGGCAUCUCGCUGGAGGAUAGACCAUCUUCCAUUCUUCCUUGCCAGUAAACUUAUUGAAGUACUUAACUCCCCGACCAACUGCUAGCUUGAAAGUCUUCCAUUUACUUGCUCGACUCUCAGCAACGAGAUGAGGAAUUAAUCCUCUGAUGCUAGCAACAUUCGUAUCGCUGUUGAGAUUCAGCUGAGCAAUGUGAUGGAGAUCACGAGCUGGAAGAGUCUGAAGGAACUUGGCCCAUGGCCUGAAAUACUGUACCCCAUCGGUCCUUUUGAUCAUUACCAAGCUGUGUUGUUCAUCAAAAUCCCAACUUCGAAUCUGACCCGAAUACUCACCUUUUGUUUUUAUAUACCUCUUCCAUUGAGUUUCGUCAGGAAGAGGUUUAAACCAUUUGCGAGCUGCCAAAUUAACUUCCUCGGGAACUCGAAUAGGAUUAUAGAUUUCUUCAGGCAUUUCACUUCCAAACACAAAGCUUCUAAUAUCAUCACUGUUAACUGGUAGGGACUCGUACUCAAUCCUUUUCCCUUGCGCAGUCUCAAUGAAUUCGAACUUACCAGCUAGUUCGUCAUCAGUUCGCUAGUCUUCAACCAGUUCCUCAACCACUUCACCAACUCCUAAAACCAAAUCAACAGCAAGAUCCAAUUCAGAAUCAGAUAAGGCACCUGUAUCAGCAUCCACAGGACCUUUAUCUCCCCCUGCGGCUGCACCCGAGGACUCCCCUCAUCUUGAGCCGAGGUUGUAGCUUCAGGAGCACGUGCGCUCCUUGACUGCUCCCCCUGCUUCGCUGCGUUGGGAUCCUUGUCCUUGUCCUUGUCGAGAUCAUCUCUGAUUUUCUUUAGCUCAUCUAUCUUACAUUGAGCCUGAAUCUGAAAAUCCGAAUUCUCCCCCUAAGCAGCAAGGAGUGACACGAGAUCCAUCACAAUACCGAGAAGCUGAUCCGUUGUCCUAUCCAAAGUCUUCUGUCGGGCUGAAGUCGAGGCAUCUUGCGUUAUGGACUUUCCCAACUGAAUACUUUGGUCUUUGGUUAGACGAAAGAGCUGCAUCAUCUGCUGAUCUCGAACCGCAUCCUUUUUCUUCAAGUAAACAAUUUCUUUCUGCUGCUUCGCGAUCUGAUUCUUAUGUUAUACCAUGACCUUAGCAGCAUCCUGAAAUUUGCCACGAACAAACUCUUGAAAAUUCUGCUCUUGACCAGAACUUGACAAUCUCGAGGCAGAAGCUGUCGAAGGUCUAGGAGUAGCAGGUCUAGAACCAGACGGUUGUGCACCGGAUGGCCUAGGACCUGAAGACGGCAAAGCUGGAGGUCUCUAAGAUCCUUUCUUCGAUCGCACUGGCGGACUUGGACCGAAAGCAACCUUCGGAUGGACUUUCCGUGUCUUUGGCGCUCGCAUAUCGGUGAAAGCACUAGGCCGCGGUGGCAAGGAAGAACUUCCUGAUAAGGCAAACAAAUUGCCCGUACCCAUUGGAGAAGAUAACGACCCAAAAAGCGGUACUGUAGGAAUCUGAGAAGACAUCAUCAGCGUUAACGGUUGAACAGAAGUAGUCAUGCUGGUAGCUUCCACAAAGGAAGUGAAUGGAAGUGAAGAAGAUAGUGACGGAAGAGCGAUAGAUAACUCCAAAUUUAGGAGACCUCUGGAAUCUGAUGGAGCAGCGCUUGAUGUAACCAUAACUGAAGCAACUAUCAGACUCGAACACUGAAAAUCCGAAACAGUAACCCGUCGUCGCUUAUACGUCUUGAGAGGAGCUGACACACGGACAAUAUCCGUAUCAGGACGACGACUGUCUUCAUCCUCAUCAUCAGAAGAAGAACUAAAAGCGAUUGAAUCCAAAUCGUUCGCUCUAUCAUUCCAACUCGCUAAGCGUAUACUCCAGUCGGAAGAGGGACCGAAAGAAGCAACCUUUGCUCGAAAUAACUCAAGUUUUUCCCUUUCAGAAGGUGUGAUACGAUUUUGAAGGUCCUUCAGAACUAACAUGAGGUAUUGCUUUUCAGUUAGCAUAUCAUUAACAGACUCAUCCACAAAAACUUCUUCGAUAGGACGCUUCCCUUUAUCAACUGCACGGGAAGACGGACCCACUUCUAGAGCCGCAUCAAGCUCUAGGAUCACCUCAUCAGUUUCUACAGCAACUCUUGUUGCCGAAGACGUAGAAACUGGAGCAUGAACAAAAACAUUUUCCUGAAUAGAAGCAUCAACAAUUGGUUCAUCAAUAACUGGUUCUUCAAUGGGUUCAGGUUUCGGAGUAUUAACCGGUGGUUGUUGAAGAUCAACCUGAGGUUGAACAACCACGGGUUCGUGAACAUUAUCCUCAACUGCCUGCAUUCCUCCACUAAAGAUUUGAUCAACACCAUUCUGAAUGUUUAACCAAAUUGGAUCAUUUUCCGAAUUGUAGUUCUCUUGAACAAUUGCACCAAGCAAAGGAGUCGUAACAGGAUGAACAUCAGUCUUCUUGGACGCAUUAACCUUGGCACAAUCAGUAAAAAUACGAGUAUGCAUGGGCGCUUGAGCGUGCGCAGGUAGAAAUACAUCGAAUGGAAGAUUUGGCAACAAGUGUCGAAUAAUAAGCGAAAGAAAACGAGGAUACAGAAUCAUCAAUCGCUUAUCAUUUGCUUUUAGACCAAUUUGAUGUUUGUAAGCUUGGAAAAUCAUUAGUGAGAAAUUGUAUGGCUGGUUGUAAGUUAACCCAAUCAUUGCAAAAAGAAGAUCAUGAGCCAUGCCAUCCAUUCCCGAUUUUCGUGGAGCUAAGCACUGCAUCAUUACAUGAAAGAAAUAUCUCCACUGCCCAAGAAUCAAUCCUUUGGCGAUCUCCUUCCUGGUAAAACAACCCACGUAACCGAAAGAUCGAGCCCCACGUUCACGAAUUUGCUUUACAUAACACGUGUUUCCAUAAUCUAAGUCACCAAACCGCAAAGCCGCACGAAUAACGGCUUCUGUGAUAACAAUAGGGCUUCCAUGAAUAGUAGCUUCGAUAGAGUCAGCAACAAUCUGUGCCGUACGCCAAAAAUCUUCAAUAUACCCUUGUACUUGGUGAAUAUUUUCUGAAAUCGCGAAAAAAAUUCUUGAAUUUCGAAGAAAACGUAUAAUAUCAGAAUAUUCGGCUCCGCCACGAACGUUUUCGUUUAUCAAUGCAAUCUGAUUGUGAUGAUGAUGAAAUUUUCGAACAGGACUGUAAGACCCAGCUUAUAAACCAGAUUUAUAUACAUAAAAACCUUGCAUUAAAUGUCGAAACAUUGCCUUAACAAAACUUUCAUCAUUUUAAUCCAUCUAGGCACCACAAACAUGUAUAAUUUUUACAAAAUCAUAACCAAGACAUUAACUACAAUUGUUUACAUGGUUCUUAAAACAAAAGGUUAUAUGCGGAAGCGUAUGCUAGAGUGUUCGGUUCGAGUUGACAAGCUUGAUCUUCAUCCUUCACUUGGGUACCUGAAAGCUAAUGUGUUCAACAAGCAUUAGAGUUUUUAACUAUGAUAGAACACGUAAUUGGAUUAGAUUCGAAAACUUAUUCAAAACAAGAAAUAAGUUUUCUUCAACAAGGCUCCACCGUAAUUUACGGUAUCACCGUAAAUUACGGUGGCUUCUGAAUGUUUGGGGGGUCUACCGUAACACAGUAGGUAUCCACCGUAACAGAGUUGCAGGUCACCGUAAAUUACGGUACCACCGUAAUUUACGGUGGACUCUGCACAUGACUCCUUUGUUUAAAAUGCAGGAUUUUGCUGGUUCAUUAUGUGACGAAACAGCAUACUUUCGCAUAAAUUGUUAAAUGGCUGGGCUAGUUCUUUAUAUCUGUAUUUCGGUUACCACAUUGCUCAUUUAUAACUUAAUUGGGCAUGUAACGGAAAUUAACAAUCACGCUAGAUUACAAGAUUUCUAAUAGACCUUUGUACUAUAAUCAUGCAUUCAAACCAAAACGUAGCGUCUAAAAUAAGAACAAGGUUUAUAAGUUUGUCUUAUAGUAUUCGCUACACGGCCUAUACCUCAUGUAUUAAUUGCACAUUAUAAUAAAGUCAUGCUUCGUGUUUAUUCUCAAAACUUGUUUGACCCGUUUAGGUGCAUAAUGUACGCACCUUACGGACACUAGACAUCAUGUUUGUAUCAUGUUUAGGGCAAUAGCCAAUUUUCAUGACAUAAUGGUAAAUUCUCGGUUAUCAUGCUUUUAUUCCUCUUAACCAACUCAUAAAGCUAUCGAUAUGUAAAAUGUAAUGAAACGGUAAAUUUCAUACCUUUAAAGCGCGCCUUUCCCUCGUGAAUCCCCUCCGGCUUGCCCACUAGAGGAACCGGACUCCUUGCCUAGAAAAUCCAGUUUUUAACAUGUUUAGAAUCAUUUUCAUGACCAUUUUCACACCGAUUUUGGACCAUUAUCAAAUCUGCGUUUUUAUCCAAAUUUUAACAUUUAAGUCCUCACUUAGGCAUUUCAACAAACACCUAGCGGGUCAGGUUUUCCUACAAUCGUUACCAAGUUCGUAGCAUGAAAUUUAACAUCUAAUUUCACUUUAUUUAACAAGUUUUUACAUACAUCUUGACAUCUAUAUUUCUGAAUCAUUUCACAAAUUCAGAUUUUAUUAGAACAAGAGUCAAAUCUCUAGCAUUCACCAAGUUUCCUUCAAGUCCAUUUGUUCCCCACAUGUAAAUCCCCAAACCUUACAAACAUGAUGCAAAGUUUUGACAAGAAAUCACAUAGGGUUUAAUCCUAGACAUCAAAUUACUUCAAGAAUCAUCCAUGCAUUACACAUCUAAGCUAAAUUUCAGUUUUUCAAAGUUAACCUAGAAUUGUGAUGGAUCAAAAUGCCAAGAUUUUACAUACCUCUUUGAUCCUUACAACAAGGGGUUUGCUAAUUCGUGUUUAGAACUUGAUUUGGAACGAGAUUGAGGCUUCAAUUUACAGAUUUUAGUUGUGAAAUCUAGGGUUUUGGAGAACCCCUGUCGCCCCCUGCUCUCUUGAUCGACCAGACUCCCUAAUUUGGGAUGUUUGCUUAAUUUUGUUACUAUUAGUAACUUAUCUUUGAGUUUUGACAAGUUUAGCCCCUUAACUUAUGAUUUUCUCUAGUUUUAAUUAUUUUAACCAUAACAUGCAUUAAAUCAAGACUUGGAAUUUAACUAGGUUAAAUUCCUAGUUGGUAAACUCUUGUUUAUCUAUUCUUUGAACUUUAUAA
This is a long non-coding RNA of Helianthus annuus (common sunflower), 6750 nucleotides long. RefSeq lists it as uncharacterized. NCBI's taxonomy places the organism in Eukaryota, Viridiplantae, Streptophyta, Magnoliopsida, Asterales, Asteraceae. The transcript is spliced from 5 exons. The record is from RefSeq and is a predicted model, not a curated record.